This is a long non-coding RNA of Athalia rosae (coleseed sawfly), 5230 nucleotides long. RefSeq lists it as uncharacterized. The record is from RefSeq and is a predicted model, not a curated record. NCBI's taxonomy places the organism in Eukaryota, Metazoa, Arthropoda, Insecta, Hymenoptera, Athaliidae. The transcript is spliced from 2 exons.
GUGAGUAUCGCGAGUAUACGUACACGUUUGGAUGGGUAUGCGCGUUAUGUACGCCUUUGGCGCGUAUAAUAAUUAUUUAUCAAAACACCCCGACCUUCGCGAGCGACAAAACCUGACUAGACUGACGUCGCGGUGAAUAGAAGAAGAGAGAGAGAGCGCGCGCGCGCGCGAGAGGGAGAGAGAGAGAGAGAGAGAGUAGAAAAAAGGAAAACAAGGGAGACGGAGAGGCGGAGAGAGGAAGAGAGAAGGAUAUAAAUUGUUGAAACACGACUUCUCGCCUCUCUGAUGCAGAAAGACUCGCAGGCGUCGUGUGUGCGAAAAGAAGGAAAAACGAGCAUAAGGAUGGUAUUAUAAAUACGGGAUGAUACCGCGCGCUGGAAAGAGGGGUAAACGCGUCAAAAUAUUCAUAAAUUAAACAGACGGAGGAAGUACAUGGCGAAAACCGGAGGAUCGUUUCCGAGGAGAGAAGGUGGCGACGAUCGCGAGGAUGAUGAUGAUGACGAUGACGACGACGACGACGAUGAUGAUGGUAGCGGUGGUUGCGGUGGCGCGGCACCGUAGUGGAAAGUUUUUCAAGGAGACGACACGUGUAUAGGUAUAGGUAUCGCAUACGUAUAGGUGUACGUAAUACAUAUCCCCGCGUAAAUAAUUAUUUUCUUUUUCGAAACGAUUUUCUUAUACGCGAACCCAACGCGCGAACGGAUGAAACACGGACGACUUACGAAUGGGCUAGAUUACAUCUAUAUCUAAUCGCAACCCCCGAUCAUAUAAAUUCGGGCACUUACGACCUACGUAGUUGCGCGAUUGCUUCGCUACGACAAUAUCGGGGCGAUAAAGGCGAAGAAACUUUGCACCCCGCGGAUCGAUUCGUUGGUGGCAAAAGAAAAAAAAAAAAACCCAAAAUCGAAGGUAACCGGGAGAGCAGCGUGCGCGCGAGUCCGACGAGCGGGGUGAAAAAUGUACUUCGUACAGGGUUUCAGGGAUGCCGGGAAUCCGGCGGCGAGUCCUGCACGGGUAACCCCGAACCCCGAGAGGUCCUGGAAACGGAGGAGAACGCGAGGCGAAUGUUGUCGAUUCGGCCAGCGCCAAACCGUGGCACGGCCUGUAUAACAGGGGAGUGGCAGGAUGUCCGUGGAAACGAGCGUUCGCAUGCAUCGCGAGUUAACAGAGCUCCGCAGCGGAGCAUAGCAAAGCGAAGUGGUUCGGUUGCUGACUUCAUUCUGCGGUAAAGAAUCGAGAAAAGUCCAGGCCGAGGUAGAGAGUCGAGGGUUUCGCGGGAGCACGAACGCGAAGAGGGGAAGACCGAGGAAGGGAUAAGGAAAAAAGAAAAAUAAAAAAGAGGAUAGGGGGAAGAAACGGCGAACAAAAAAAAAUUGAGGAAAAACGACGAGCGGAGGGAGGGGGGAGGCGGGAGGAGAAUUCUGUGCCGCUGUUGCUGCUGCUGCUGCGUCGACGUCGUCGUCGUAGUCGUCGUCGUCGUCGUCGUCUCUGCAAUACCGAGCGUGGCCCAGAUUUUCGAACGCUAGGGGAACGGCGACGCCGUUUUGUAGGUGCUGGUGUGUUGUCCGUAUACGUUACACGUACCGCUGCGCCGUGAUCGUCGGCAGCGGCAGCAGGAGCUGCACCACCACCUUAUAUUUUAUACCUAAAACCCGCCUUAUAUUCCGAUACGUCUACCUAUACAUAUACCCAUACUAAAAGUCAGUUCUCUCCGGAAUCCGGAUAGCUAGAGCCGAGCUCGCGGAGACGACGGUAUUAGAUGCUGCGUGUACAGAAGAACGCGAGUAUCGUCCUGGUCUAUUCCGUGAUUCGAAAAUUCCGAUGAAAUUUUCCGAUGGGUUUUUCGUCAUUUUCCAAUAUCCGAAUCGCUUUGCGUGCAAAUUCGGCGCGGGAAAUGCGGAGAGGAAAUUUUCGCCGACCACCCUCCGCGGUAUUUUAGCUGAGAAUACCGAGUUCCCGACGACGAAACUGCCGGAAAAAUCGAGAAGAGAAAUAAGAGAACGAUGAAAAAAGUAAACUAAUAGCUAAAUGAGGCGCGUUUCAUUUCACGUGUGUGCGUCAUCCGCUCCUCGAUCUUUCCGAGGAUCGGUUUCUGGCUGCAACGGCGGUCUGCCGCACACGGCAACAAGAAUAAGAGGAUAAAACGAAAAGGAAUAAGAAGGAGGUGACUGUUAGCUUGUUCCCCCCUUCUCCACGAAUUCCCCCUUGCAUCCCUUCGCCAUUCGAGGACGGACGCACCUCCUGCAGUUGCAGUUUUCACCGUUAUCGCACGGGUUUUGUCGAGUCAAAUUGACUUGAUUAAUUAUUGUUAUUUUGUCCUUUUAUUUAUAAUUCGUUUCAGGAACUGGCUAAACGUUCGCAACGACGCUUAUGGUUGCGGUGAAUCAUACGGACGCACGUGUUUUUUGAUUUUGAUGAAUUUUUUUUUCUUUCUAAUUGGUCACACGAAUCCAAUAAAAGUGAUGGUCGUCGUGUUACGUAAACGAUACUAACGAUUGUUACUGUAACGACAAUAAUAAAAGCAAUGGUGAUCCAAUUUCAGAAGAGGAUAUGAUUGAGAAGAUCGAUGAGGGUUGGAAAAAAAACAAAAAAAAAAAAAACGGAAAUAAUCCUGCAGUCAGCAGCAACGCGAAUACGUCAGUUUUUACAAUUAUUUGAAUCAAAGUAGAUUUCGCGACGGUUACACGAUCAACUUUCAAGUUCCCCUCCCCCUUUCCUUGAAUCUCCAACUUCUGGUAAUUACUUGAAAGAACCAAAAUUCAAGACGAAAAAAAAGAAGGAAAAUACAUUCUCGAAUUUAAUAAUAUUAUGCACGCGUAUACCCUUGACUUAUAAUACCGACAAUGAGAUGACAAAUUAAUAUACAUAUAUACACGCAUGGGGCAACCACGUGUUAAAUGUCAGCAGAACUGAUGCAGAAUUAAAUGGGAAUGAGAAAAAAUAUUUUUAAAACGUGGUGGGGGUAGGAGACAUUGAAUAAAAAUCGCGUUCAUACAAGAAAUGAGAAAUAUACAUGAGUAAAUAGAUGAGUUGAAAAUUUUUUUACACUGACUUACGACAAUUUUUUGAAGAGGUUAGUAUUUCCCCGUGGCUCCUUGUAAAUAAUACGGAAGCGAGGGAUGAGAAAAUGAGAAAAAAAACAAUGAAAACCAUGAACCGUAUCCGACACAAUAAUCUUUCAAAUUUUCUCUGUAACAAUCAUUUUUUUUUUCUCUCUGUGGUGUUUUUUUUUUUUUUUUUUUUUUUCUUUACCUUUAUUGCCAGGUAUUCGUUUACUCCGUGAGUUAUAUAAAUUGUAUAUCAGAUUUUCAAAACUGUAUCUGAUUUAGCAACAGCAGCAGCAGCAGCAGCAACAAUGUAAUUAUCACAAAACGAAAGCACACAUUGUUACACCAGGUUACACUUUUAGCAGACGGUUAAAAUGAUGGUGUAUUUAUAAAUAAUAUCGUAAAAAGCACGUGACAUGUUAAUGACAAUGAUAAUGGUAACGAUAAUAAUAGCGGAGAAGAAAAAAAAAAAAAAAAUUGUUUCUUUCUUUAUAGAAAAGAAAAAGUCACGCACCACUUUUUGACACCCUGUGUAACGGUAAUAUUGAGCACGAAUGUUGGAAAGAAAGAUGGAAGAAAAUAUGAAAAAUCAAAAACGAACGAUUAUAUCACUGCCAGCUGAUAAUUGAUAUGAAAUUUUCUAGUGUAAUAAUGAUACCGGAAACAACGAACGGUAAAUCUCUGGAUCUCGGUCCUCGGUGGCGUCGCUAAUUUUCAAUAAUUAUUAUUAAUUCCAUAUAAUUAGUGCUACAAUAUACCUAUAUUGCACGUUCGGUGAUAGAUAUAGUAAAUACGUGUACUCCGUUUUUCCACAAUAUUUUCUGUUCUUCAAAACUUUAAGGGGUUAUUAUUUAUCGUGACGAUAAAACUUGUUUUUGGCGUCGCACUAGAGUAAAUUUGUAAGAAAUUAAAAUUACAGUAGCAAUAACAAUAGUAAUUUUUCAUGGUUUUAUUAUCGAUCAACACAGCUGAUUCGAUUCCGUCCUUUUUCUCUUCUUUUUAUUUUAUUUUAUUUUAUUUUAUUUCUCUUAAUCAAUAUUUUAUUUUACUUUAUCACGUUUUUUUCAAAAACACACCCACGUAAAACAUACACACGUCCGUAUUUUUUCUUGGCCUUCGAGUGCGCAAAGCGAAAGAAAAAAAAAAAAAGAAAAAACUCUAUGAAGAAAAACGAAAAUGGACUUCGCGCCGGGGUUGGUCACGCGGCAGUCCCCGCGAAACGGACAGACAAACGGACGGAUAAAAUAGAGGAGGAAAAGAUAAAGAAAAAAAAAAAAAAAAAUGGUCGGACGGACGGACGUACGGGACGUUUCGGAGUAGCGGAUGGGGACGUGCGGACGUACCGACGGACGGCGGGGGACUGUCGGUCUUUCGAAUAAGGGGGGGUUCGACGUCCUUACGCCGCCUUAAGUUUCCCCCCCCUAUUUUAGUUCCUACUUUAAAGUGGGUUUCAGGGUUGGUGGCGCUGCAUGGGGCUGCGUAACGUUUCACCAUACGACAAAUAUAUUAUUUACACUAUUGCGUCGUCGUUAAAUAAAUAUAUUCGUUGGUAGAAAUUUUUUCGAACACUUAUACAUCGGGAGUGGUAAAAGGGGAGAAAAAAGAAUUAUCCCGGCGUAAACUUCACGAACUUGUUUAAGGGACGUGUCGGGCAUCUAGACGUUGGAAGAAAAGAAAAAGAGAAAUCUAUGAUUCGGUAAAUUAGUCUGCGAAAUCCGAGGUCAUUUUUGUUUUUUUCUCCUCCUUCUUUUCUCAAUCGAAGCUAGUGUUCCCGUAUUCCACUCGACGUUAUCGAACGCAAAAAUUAAAUUAUGGUUAAUUACUCGAUUCAAGUUUAGAGGCGGGUGUAACGGUGAGUUCGCCAUGUUGAAUUUUCUCAUUUAACGGAGAAAAAUGGUAACUUAACGAACGUAGGCGGUGAAGCGCAAUUUACGGUGCGCGUACUCGGGGGGAAAAAAAAAUAAAUAAAUUAGUUCACCUCAAACUGAAUAGGUUUGGAAUUUGAAAGGAAAAAAUCGAAAACUAAUCUAUACGUUGACUAUUGAAUAGAACAAAUGGAAAAAAAGAAUGCAAGCCUUUCAAAUUGUAAAAUAAACAGCCCCCCGGAGAUAAGAAAAAUUUAUUAUCGUGGCUAUGUUAUGGUAAAUUUGUGUAAGAAAAAAAAAAGAAAAAAAAAAAAAGAA